CCCUUCGGGGAGCUUGUACAGGUGCUGCAUGGCUGUCGUCAGCUCGUGUCGUGAGUAUGUUCGGUUAAGUCCGCUAACGAGCGCAACCCUCGCUGUGUGUUACAUGUGUCAUACGAGACUGCCGGUAAAAGCCGGAGGAAGGUGAGGAUGAUGUCAAGUCAGCAUGACCUUUAUAUCCAGGGCUACACACACGCUACAAUGGUCUGUAUAAUGGGUAGCCAAGCCGCGAGGCGGAGCCAAUCCUGAAAGCAGGCCUCAGUUCAGAUUGCAGUCUGCAACUCGACUGCAUGAAGCCGGAGUUGCUAGUAACCGCAGGUCAGCAAUACUGCGGUGAAUACGUUCCCGGGUCUU
This 351-nucleotide ribosomal RNA is filed under the name uncultured Anaerolineaceae bacterium. RNAcentral's name for it is "bacterial SSU rRNA". It matches the Rfam family "Bacterial small subunit ribosomal RNA", at positions 1014 to 1382 of the family's 1533-position model. The record is from RNAcentral. Lineage: Bacteria; Bacillati; Chloroflexota; Anaerolineae; Anaerolineales; Anaerolineaceae.